This 138-nucleotide small nucleolar RNA is filed under the name Triticum aestivum (bread wheat). Its description in RNAcentral is "Small nucleolar RNA Z247". It matches the Rfam family "Small nucleolar RNA Z247". From Rfam's summary of the family: Z247 is a member of the C/D class of snoRNA which contain the C (UGAUGA) and D (CUGA) box motifs. RNAcentral also lists the same sequence under 1 other name. The record is from Rfam by way of RNAcentral. Lineage: Eukaryota; Viridiplantae; Streptophyta; Magnoliopsida; Poales; Poaceae.
AAGAUCGAAGCCGACGAUCUCAUCUCUCAAAUUCUUGUAGGAUUAGACGCAGAAUACAAUCCUUUCUCUCCUCCAUUGCCGCAAGAACCAACGCCUAUUCCCUGAGCGAAAUUUAUGCUCAGUUUCUUGCCUUUGAAA